GACGAACGCUGGCGGCGUGCUUAACACAUGCAGGUCCAACGGAAAGGCCCUGCUUUUGUGGGGUGCUCGAGUGGCGAACGGGUGAGUAACACGUGAGUAACCUGCCCUUGACUUUGGGAUAACUUCAGGAAACUGGGGCUAAUACCGGAUAGGAGCUCCUGCUGCAUGGUGGGGGUUGGAAAGUUUCGGCGGUUGGGGAUGGACUCGCGGCUUAUCAGCUUGUUGGUGGGGUAGUGGCUUACCAAGGCUUUGACGGGUAGCCGGCCUGAGAGGGUGACCGGCCACAUUGGGACUGAGAUACGGCCCAGACUCCUACGGGAGGCAGCAGUGGGGAAUAUUGCACAAUGGGCGGAAGCCUGAUGCAGCAACGCCGCGUGCGGGAUGACGGCCUUCGGGUUGUAAACCGCUUUCGCCUGUGACGAAGCGUGAGUGACGGUAAUGGGUAAAGAAGCACCGGCUAACUACGUG
This 468-nucleotide ribosomal RNA is filed under the name uncultured bacterium. Its description in RNAcentral is "partial 16S ribosomal RNA". It matches the Rfam family "Bacterial small subunit ribosomal RNA", at positions 28 to 507 of the family's 1533-position model. The record is from RNAcentral.